Molecule: ribosomal RNA, 200 nt
Filed under: uncultured eukaryote
Lineage: Eukaryota
Description: partial 18S ribosomal RNA
Rfam family: Eukaryotic small subunit ribosomal RNA
Source: RNAcentral
GCUCCAAUAGCGUAUAUUAAAGUUGUUGCAGUUAAAAAGCUCGUAGUUGGAUUUCUGGUGGUUGAGAACGGUCCACCGCGAGGUGAGCACUGUUUUUGGCCGUCAUCCUCUCGAGGACGUGUGGUGUCAUUAACUUGGUGCUGCAUGGGCUCGGGACCUUUACUUUGAAAAAAUUAGAGUGUUCAAGCAGGCCUACGCUU